CAGCCUGAUGCAGCGACGCCGCGUGCGGGAUGGAGGCCUUCGGGUUGUAAACCGCUUUUGUUCAAGGGCAAGGCACGGUUUCGGCCGUGUUGAGUGGAUUGUUCGAAUAAGCACCGGCUAACUACGUGCCAGCAGCCGCGGUAAUACGUAGGGUGCGAGCGUUAUCCGGAUUUAUUGGGCGUAAAGGGCUCGUAGGCGGUUCGUCGCGUCCGGUGUGAAAGUCCAUCGCCUAACGGUGGAUCUGCGCCGGGUACGGGCGGGCUGGAGUGCGGUAGGGGAGACUGGAAUUCCCGGUGUAACGGUGGAAUGUGUAGAUAUCGGGAAGAACACCAAUGGCGAAGGCAGGUCUCUGGGCCGUCACUGACGCUGAGGAGCGAAAGCGUGGGGAGCGAACAGGAUUAGAUACC
This 407-nucleotide ribosomal RNA is filed under the name Bifidobacterium animalis subsp. lactis. Its description in RNAcentral is "bacterial SSU rRNA". It matches the Rfam family "Bacterial small subunit ribosomal RNA", at positions 379 to 786 of the family's 1533-position model. Lineage: Bacteria; Bacillati; Actinomycetota; Actinomycetes; Bifidobacteriales; Bifidobacteriaceae. The record is from RNAcentral.